AGAGAAAGACGGAGAAGAAGAAGCAGUUU
This 29-nucleotide small RNA is filed under the name Arabidopsis thaliana (thale cress). Its description in RNAcentral is "ATSL150490". The record is from RNAcentral. Lineage: Eukaryota; Viridiplantae; Streptophyta; Magnoliopsida; Brassicales; Brassicaceae.